Molecule: long non-coding RNA, 1436 nt
Filed under: Scleropages formosus (Asian bonytongue)
Lineage: Eukaryota; Metazoa; Chordata; Actinopteri; Osteoglossiformes; Osteoglossidae
Description: lncRNA (ENSSFOG00015027139.1)
Source: RNAcentral
GGAAAAUUUGCCGUGUGGGCGGAGCUAUUGCAAGGGGGCGUGGCGGAGGUAUUCCAGGGGGCGGGGCGGCUUUCUCUUGCUGGGAAGCCUCGCGGGCUGGAAUAAUGAAUGAGGCACAGACCGAGCGCCCAGUGGGGUUAUUGUGCGCGUGUGUGUGUGUUCGCGCACGGAACGCCUUCAAAGUUCAGUCGCACAUUCCGAUAGCGAGACAAGAGAUGUAGAAGCGGAGCGUCGGGACACGUGGAGGAGGAUUCCGUCUCUUCUUUCCCCCCGUGCCGUGUUAGGACUUCAGUGGCUCGCGAGGAGCGCGUUCCAGCGCAGAUCGUUUGUCCGGCAGCGCGCAGGAGCUCUUUGUGAAGAAGGUGCUGGGACCCUGGCUCUGUGAAGGGGGCGUCCACGCGUUGCAUAACAGGGUCUUGGUCAAGCCCUGGACCAUGGAAAUGAGACAGAGGAGAACCUGAUGGGGUCAGAAUGGAGGUUUUGAUAGGGUCGCUGGAAAGGAAGUUGCAGAGACCGCUCCUGGCCAAGUCACGGACACUUCCGAGCAUCCCUCAGUCCCCGACCGUCUCACGAGUGCACCGCUCGGACCUAGUGAGCGGCAGUCCUUCUCGCAGAAAACCUCUUUUCAGCACCAACCACCCCAAGGCGUGCACGCUGCCCCCUGCAGGAGAAGCGUGGAGGCUGGAGGACGACAACGACGAGGAGGGCGGCGAGGCCGAGGCCGGCCGACUGCGCGCCGAGGCCCGACCGCGCUCCCAGUCGCCCUUCUCGCAGCUCCGCUCUCGGGCCGCCUACCUGCGUAAGAGCGCCUCCGUGGACGACCAUCUGGGAUCGUCGGAAUUUGGGACGGCACCGGCGGAGAACAAGAGCCAUCGCGCCGGCAAGGGGAAGCUCAAGAGGAAGUUCGAGACGGACAGCGAUUUCAUUUGAACGGAUUACUUCUGCUCGCAGAAAAUGUUUGGCAGGAAAACAAACUGAGAAAACCAGAAUGCAAACCUGCAACCAGACAGGUUCUUAGCUGUUGUCAUGGAAAUGUCACCCCCCCCCCCCCCAAACCCAAACCUUCCUAUGCUUGUUGGUCCCUUUCCUCUGCUGUAAUCUGGACUCUGUCUCCAAUGAGACACUUUAAGGACUGAUUUUUCUUUUUUCUUGUAAACAAAUCUGAAUGUUAAUUCUGCUCCGGGUGAAAUCGGAUCACACGGCUAUUGGCGCCACUCUCGCGAUCCUCUCAGCGCUCAUCCCACACACUCCCUUGAAUAUAACCUGCUUCGCUGCAUCGUUUCCCGCUGUGUCUAAUUAGAACCAAACUUAAGAUCGUUUUCCUUGAUUAAACUCCAGCAAAGGAAGGGUUUCGAAGCCCUCGUGCCAGUUGCAAGUUUCCAGCUUGAAACUCCAAAUGGAAAAUAUAACAUAUAGUUCGCAAAACUUUGUGGGGC